CCUACGGGUGGCAGCAGUGGGGAAUAUUGGACAAUGGGGGAAACCCUGAUCCAGCGACGCCGCGUGGGUGAUGAAGGCUUUCGGGUCGUAAAGCCCUGUCAGGAGGAAAGAACACUCCCAUGGUAAAUACCCAUGGGAAAUGACGGUACCUCCAAAGGAAGCACCGGCCAACUCCGUGCCAGCAGCCGCGGUAAGACGGAGGGUGCAAGCGUUGCUCGGAAUCACUGGGCGUAAAGGGUGCGUAGGCGGCCUCUUAAGUCUGGCGUGAAAGCCCAGGGCUCAGCCCUGGAAGUGCGCUAGAAACUGGGAGGCUUGAGUAUCGGAUGGGAGAGUGGAAUUCCUGGUGUAGCGGUGAAAUGCGUAGAUAUCAGGAGGAAUACCGGUGGCGAAGGCGACUCUCUGGACGAUAACUGACGCUGAGGCACGAAAGCGUGGGGAGCAAACAGGAUUAGAUACCCUGG
Molecule: ribosomal RNA, 461 nt
Filed under: uncultured bacterium
Lineage: Bacteria
Description: bacterial SSU rRNA
Rfam family: Bacterial small subunit ribosomal RNA
Source: RNAcentral